CCUCUGAUGUCGUAAGGGAAAAUAAUGAUAAUACCUUACUAUGAGUGUCGUCCAAAUCUGGUGCCAGAAGACUCGGUAAGACCAGAGACGCAAACGUUAAUCAUCAUAAUCAGGCGUAAAGGGUUUGUAGGCAGCAUUCACCAGACUAUAAAUAAUAAAAUAAAGUAGUUUAAUUGAUUGCUAGAAUCAAAAAGAGGUUAUAGUGUAUAACGCCUAGAGGAGGGCUGAUAUCCAUAGAUCCUAGGCAGAAUACUAAGGGCGAAGGCCACUUUCCACUAAUGAUUGACGCUGAGAAACGAAGGUUAGGGUAGGAAAUAGGAUUAGAUACCCCGGUACUCCUUUCUGUAAACGAUGAAUGGUAGUCAUUAGUUAAAAAACUAGAGACGAAGUUAACACAAUAACCAUUCCGCCUUGUGAGUACUACUGCAAAGUA
This 433-nucleotide ribosomal RNA is filed under the name Hexagonia cucullata. RNAcentral's name for it is "SSU rRNA". It matches the Rfam family "Bacterial small subunit ribosomal RNA", at positions 430 to 895 of the family's 1533-position model. The record is from RNAcentral. Lineage: Eukaryota; Fungi; Basidiomycota; Agaricomycetes; Polyporales; Polyporaceae.